RNAcentral lists this ribosomal RNA (468 nucleotides) under uncultured bacterium. RNAcentral describes it as "partial 16S ribosomal RNA". It matches the Rfam family "Bacterial small subunit ribosomal RNA", at positions 28 to 507 of the family's 1533-position model. The record is from RNAcentral.
GACGAACGCUGGCGGCGUGCUUAACACAUGCAAGUCGAACGGAAAGGCCCUGCUUUUGUGGGGUGCUCGAGUGGCGAACGGGUGAGUAACACGUGAGUAACCUGCCCUUGACUUUGGGAUAACUUCAGGAAACUGGGGCUAAUACCGGAUAGGAGCUCCUGCUGCAUGGUGGGGGUUGGAACGUUUCGGCGGUUGGGGAUGGACUCGCGGCUUAUCAGCUUGUUGGUGGGGUAGUGGCUUACCAAGGCUUUGACGGGUAGCCGGCCUGAGAGGGUGACCGGCCACAUUGGGACUGAGAUACGGCCCAGACUCCUACGGGAGGCAGCAGUGGGGAAUAUUGCACAAUGGGCGGAAGCCUGAUGAAGCAACGCCGCGUGCGGGAUGACGGCCUUCGGGUUGUAAACCGCUUUAGCCUGUGACGAAGCGUGAGUGACGGUAAUGGGUAAAGAAGCACCGGCUAACUACGUG